GCUCAACCCCUCCUCUAUUUUGAAAAUUUUCUUUGCCAUCUAUUUAUGUUGGAAUCCAGAAAAAAAAAAAUCAUAGAAUGGUGCAUCAUAAUUGACGUAACAAUGAUCAAACAAUUGAGAUAAUGAUGAGCACACAAAGAAGUAGUAAUUUCUGUUUUGUCGAGCACUUGGUGCUCAAAACAAAUACAAGCAAAUUCCAAGUAAAGACGUAGGGAUGAAAUCAAAGAGAAGAACAUAGACCAAGUAAAUUCCAGAGAAACAAAAAAAAAUGUAGAGAGUGGCCGAUGUAGGGGAAACGGGAAAAAAAAUCAAUUUACUUUGAAAAAAUCUUAUGCAAGUUGGAGACCAGGGCCGAUGCAAGGAAGAUGAAAUGCAGGAGGUUCUUGUUGACGACGUCGGAAACGGGUAGGAGAUGAGGUCAGAGAUGGAGGGGUGGGGAGACAAUGAAAUGCGGGGUUUUGAAGAGCAAGGGAAAUGAUUUUGACGAACAAAUGGAGAAGCCGAGAUGUGUGACUCGGUCAACGAGUCUCAGAAAAGAAAGAAAAAAAAUAAGGUGGGUUUUUGAUAAGAAGAAGAGGGUGAUUUCAAGAUGCAGAAGAAUGUGUUUUCGGAAGGUAGAAGAAGGAGUUUUUGGGAAGAAGGGAGAAAUAAGGGAGAGAAGAGGGUGUGGCAUUUUUUUAUUGAAAAAUUCUGCUUGCAACCGCGUAAGGGAACACCUGCGUAACCAGCGCCACGUGGAAAAUGAAACUCUGCAUUUUAUUUAUACCAAAAUGCAAUGUUCCCUCCCUCCCACAAAGUGUUGAAUUUCCUCCCUCCCGAAGAACAAUUCCCUUCAUCUUCAACCCGUAAGAACACGAACGUGGUUGCAGUUUCCUCGUUUGCAGGUUUUGUAAGGCCACUGAGUCAUGCGUUCUGUUUCUUCCUACAUCAUCGCCGUUAGGGGACCACGGGUUGUAAAGAUCAGCACUCAUGGAAGGGCCAGGAAGGCUAAGAAACAUCUUCAACAUGUUAAGUUCACGCGCCUGAGUUGGGGAAUGUUUUCCCUUUGGGUUUGGAGAUGAUUUGUAAUUCUUAUUUAGUGCUUUGGGAGAGGGCUCUUGGAGAACUGCUUUGGGAUCCUAGUGUUAUGGCUACAACUGCUUACUAAAUUUAAACAAAGAAUAGGGAUAGAGGAUUUUUACCCUCUUUUUCUCCUUAA
Long non-coding RNA from Carya illinoinensis, 1198 nucleotides. RefSeq lists it as uncharacterized. The record is from RefSeq and is a predicted model, not a curated record. The transcript has 2 exons. Lineage: Eukaryota; Viridiplantae; Streptophyta; Magnoliopsida; Fagales; Juglandaceae.